Oxyura jamaicensis (ruddy duck) is the source of this 5381-nucleotide long non-coding RNA. RefSeq lists it as uncharacterized. The record is from RefSeq and is a predicted model, not a curated record. NCBI's taxonomy places the organism in Eukaryota, Metazoa, Chordata, Aves, Anseriformes, Anatidae. The transcript has 8 exons.
CUUGGAGGUCUCUUCCAACCUAGAUGAGUCUGUGAUUCUGUGAACACGGUUAGGUUGGGCCUCAAAGGGCGACAGAAAAGUUACCUGAAAGGCUUGAGAAUUGCCCGAAAGAAGGCAAAAAGCAAGAAGAGGGCGGGUCUGUAAACCUGACCCAGAAUUAAGAAAGGAAAAGGGGAUGAUAACUCAUUGACGAGAAAAACAAAAUCACGGUGUGAUUUUAUAAUUGCCCUAAGUUACCAUCUUUCACAGCAAUAGGUCUAGGGAUCAAUGGGGACGCACCACAAGGCAGACUCUGGGAGUUAGAGGUUAACCCAGGAGGGAGGAUCUGUGCAUCCCAGGCCGGUGGCACAUCCACAGCUGUAGAGGCUCCUUUCCAGCUCAUUAGCUCUUGCCUUCCAUGCUACCUUAUCCCCCAUCAGUGAUUCCUCUUCAGGAAUUUCAGUACGGAGACCUCAGGCAACUGCGGGGAUGAAAGGCAUUUCUUGCAGCUUCUGUCGCUUCGUUUUCCCUUCUAGCCUGGGUGUCUGUGGGAGGCUGGUCCAGGACCGUAGAAGUGACCUGAAGGUCACCCCGCUGUGUUCUGAUGACACAGGAAGAGUAAGUCCUUUCGCCUCUGUGUCGGGUGUCCUGGCAUCACCUCUGUUGCCCUACGCUUCAGCAUCCGCGGGGUAACAGUAUACAAUGAAAGGUUUUGCUUGAAUAUGGCCUUCAUAUUCACCCAUGUUCUUCAACCAUUGCAUGGCUUCGCUGUGAGAUGAGAAACGUUUGCUGCGCUCCGCCUGCUGGAUUGCAUUUUGUUGUCCAUCCGUUCGUCCUGGGCUGUGUUUGACUGUGAGUGAAGGCUGGCUUUGUUUUGCAGACCCCUCCAGGAUCCUUCGGAAAGAGUGCCAGUGUGGAAACGUCAGCAUUGCAUAGAUGGGUGUAAAGCUGUGAGAUAAAUGGAAAUUGCUCUGGGAAAAAAAUGAACGUAAUAUUGCCUUACGUUAGAGAUUGUCAUUGGUCUUUACUCACAUCGUUAACUCAGAGAAACUCCCACCUGAAUCCAUUUGGUUAUGGGAGGUGAAUCUGGGUAAAUACGAUGGGGAUUGCGCACACAAACAAGGAGCGUUCUGUUGCUUGCAGAAGGGUCAGAUGGUUUCCAGGCUCUGUUUCUCUUAGGGAAAGAGAAGAUUGCCCCUUCCUUCCUGGCAAGAAGGGCAGCAUGUGCUGCAAAUGGCUGUCUUACACCCAGCGCCUGCCUGAAUCCAGCACGUAGCUGGACUGGGCCAGGCCCUGUGCUUCUCUUGAAGCACACGGGUUGAUCAGAAAUGGUAUCCUUUUCUAGGUGUACUUUAGUCAAGGCUGUAGUAAAAGUGUCAGGAUUUACCUUUGGUGAGCAUUCCCCAAAACAGAAAUGAUCGUUCCUCAAGAAAUCAAGGGAGAAUCUACUUUAAGUAACCGAAAUAAGGCACACAGCUUUGCUGAUGUGUCACUUUGUUGCAGAGCGUGUUUCUGUGAAGGGUAUAGGUUUGUCUCUGUCUUUGUCUUGCUGAUCUAGGCGAGAUCCAGCAAAACAAGCUGCCGGUGACAAGGGAAAUUCAACUUACAGUAUUGGAAGAUUCAUGUCAGCGCGUAACGAAAACAUGCUUAUGGAAGCUGCUAAAUAUGUGUUACUAGGAGCUGGGUGAAGUAAUCCUGAAGGCUCUAAAUUUACAUGUCUAAAAGAGUAAACGCGUGCACAUAGAGCUGAUCGAUGUCACUCCUACCAAGUACUACUGCUAGAGUUUCAAAAGUGACUAGCGAUUUGGCUUUAUUUUAUUUAGAGGUUUUGGAGAGUCAUCAAAGGCCCUUGCCUUUCUGAGAUGGGCCUAGUCAGCUUUUUCUGAAAAUGAAACUCUACUAAUGCUGUAGUGACGUUUUUAAAAUCUCAGCUGAUCUGCAGGUGCGCAAACACACAGGAACAGACGCGAUCCCAUAGAGACAGACAUACAUAUUUCACGUGUAGAAUUUACAGAAUACAGAACAGGAGGCACUAGUCUUUUCUUGAACAAGGUGUGCAGUUCUCAGUGCCUCAAGUUUUUCAUUUAACCACCAAAUAAAUAAAUUAGGGUCUCUUUCUGACUGAAGAGGAGAGAACAUGCUGCAUUUUACACAAAACCUAUGCUUGCCUGUUAGCUGACUAUUUCUCUAAUACAUCAAAAUGAUUAGAUCAUUUCUUUCUCUCUUAUUUUUUUUUUAAUUGAAAUGAGAGCUUUACUUUUGUUGAAUGAUUCACUUAACAACUGUUGUUAUUUCUCUGGCCUACCCUGAGUUUACAGCACUGACUGAAAUGUUCUCAGAUGAGCAGGUGGGAAAACGGCCUGUAAAUCUUCAUCUUCGUAAAUGGUUUGUAAAACUUUUGGUGUUGAAGGAAGACAGCAAGAGAGAUGUUGAAGAACUGAGCCUUGAUGUCAUGUCCACAGAAUUUGUGCCAGGCAGAGCUGACAGCAGAACAGCGCCUUCCUCUUCCACGCCCAGGCUGAAGUCAAAGGUCCAUAAUGCUUAGUUGCCCUGGCCGUUGGAUUUAACAUCUCUCUUGGAAGUACUUCAAACCAAAUGGCUGGCUCCAUCUCUAGCUUUGUUAAUUAGGCACAUUACUUUGUUGCUUUUUUCAUAGCGUUUAAUGUAAUUGGCAUUUGUGCAGCUUUUUAAAGGCAUGUUUGGGCCUACAUUUUGUGCAGCUGGCUCUAAACUGCAAGCUAUUUCAAGUGUCUAGUUCUCUAGAAGACCGCCUUCGAGAGCGUGGAGCAUCUGUGUUGAGCGCAUACCAUGCUUCCUUUCCAAACCGAAGGAAAUGGCUAGUGUGACACAUGUUCUUCCCUGUAUUCGUUUGUAUUUCUGCGGCGUUAUGUUUGUAGUGGGAGCAUUAGCCGGCCUAUUUGAAGAACAGGACUCCACCUACAAGCUGUCGUGUAAUGCUUAGCUAUAAUAAGUCUUUAUCCUAGCCACCUUUAUUCAACUCACAGGGACGCUUUGCCAUAUAGACAGAAACGGCUGUGAUUAUUCACAUGGAAGUGAAUCUCCGCAAGCCAUGAAUUUGGCCUCACUGCGAUAAAUCCUACAGAUAAGGGUGCCAACGCAGUGCCAGCUGCCAGUACAACCAAUGAAGUUACACAAGGCAGGAAUUCAGUACAUUGACUUCGGUUGUCGUGGCGUGAAAUGCUGUACCUGAACUGAAGAAGUGAUACACGUACAAGUUUAGGAAGAAAAUACUUUGUGUAUGCGCUGAAGAAAUCACCCAAUUCCUCUUUUUCAUAGAAAUGCUGCCCUCUGCCGGCCUGGGAAACCAAGAAGCACAAGUUGCCUAUUAAUUGCAAUAAUACAAUUUCCACUCACGUGGCAGCAAGUAGGAAUAAAAUAUGCCCGUUAGCAUAAAAGGCACAUGGAUUGUCUGAGUUGCAGCCUCGGGAAACCCACAAGUAGCAGAAGGCAAAGUAAAGAGAGUUGUAACGACAAGACUUUGUUUUACUUGUACAAACAUCCUGGCUCACAGUCAGUCAGACGUAGGGCGCUGCACACAGCGGUCGUCAGUGACCCAAGAGGACCCUUACAUCCUCCCAGAACGUGAAGCUAAGCCACAGGUAAAAUACAAGUCAUUCAGGUUUUGUCAGCCAAGUGCAUUCGUUUGAGGAUUCAGAAGUAAAGCGUCGGCGUGAAGGAAUGUUUUAUGGCCAAGGUGUAAGAUAUGUGGAGGUGACUGUGCAUGCCGAGGUUUGCGUACCACUGAGGACCAGAGAAUGGCAUCGCAAGCCCACUGUCAUCUGCUCUUGUGCCUGUGCCUCAUCUGCCUUCUGAAGGCUCUUUGGUAGCAAAGUACUUGGCAUUUUCCUGGUGUGUGGGGCUCCAGAUGGUGACUGAAGACAGUAAAUAUUUUUGCUGUUUCUCCACCAACUGAUUCUCCAUUAGGAAAAGAUGAGAAAACAGAACAUUCAACUCACCGAGAGCUGACCUCACAAAGAAAUGCAGUCUGCAAGUUAUCCAGCAGAUGCUGCUGUUGGACAAAAAAAAAGCUCAAGCGAAGUCAAUGGGACACCUUUACAGAUCUGGACGUUGAUAAAGGUGUAGAGGGGACAGCCCUGCCUCGGAGUCCCCUCCGAUCUGCACAGUGGUCCCGUGCCUCAGAGCACCAGUUUGUCAUCCACCAUGGUCACAACCACACACAGUGAGGGAGCUGGUGAGCUGUUCCCUUCUUCCUUUUAAGAGGUAAGAGCUGCACAAAUACCCUCUGUAAUAAUCACCAAAGCAUUUAGAGCUGCUGCUAUCUCGUUUUGUUUGUUUGUUUCAUGUGAAGUUUAAACAAAAGCCACAAAUCGCAGGGAUAGGACAAGGAACAGGUCGUUGAAUAUGGACUGUAGCUGCCGGUUAUUCCCAUCUGAAUGUACAGAUACGCUCUGCUGGUUACUUAUCAAUGACAAUCUGCUCCAGGCUUAUCCCUGAGCAGGGCAAGCUUGCAAGGUUACACGUGUAUACUGAAUGAAACAUACCCCACCGGUAAUUUUUAGCGAGGCUCUAAACAAGAAAUAAAUCCCUGGAGGAGUGUUGCCAGAGAUGCAUAAAGUUCAAAUCCAAAUUAAAACUGCCUUUCUUUGGCCUAAAUUCUGACCUGAACUUGAGGAAAACUGUGAUCUAUACUUUGACCUUUAUGACAGAAAAUCAAUUGAAAUUUAAUUCUCAUACCUGAUACGAACGUGGUACAAACACUUGAAAAUUAAAACCUGAAUGGAAAAAUCUGAACGCUUGUCUCAGGGUGUAGUACUGGUCUUGCAAAAUAUGGUCACGGGGCUUUAACUUACGGUAGCUGCAAUGGACGUUGAAGGAUCUGAGUUACUGAGACUCGUAGGUCUGAUACAGCUUUGUAAGCUCAAGUCCUACAAUGUAAUUGUAAACUUGGGGGGGGGGGGGGAAAAAUGCUUAUUUACUUCACAAAUCUAUUUCGUGAAGACCAUCAAUAUGUAAGACUUGGUUUAGAAAUUACUAAGAUACCUACUUGAAGAAGGUAGACCCCUGUUCAGCAAUGCUGUUACACAAAGUAAUUGAAAGUGGUGCAGCUGAAGCACGUUCUUGAUUUCGUUGCUGAAUCAGAGCCUGUAUCUUCUUCCUGCCAAGGCAGCGAUCUUAACACCACUCCUGAAUGCACUAGUAAUUCUAGAAGCUCUAAUGAAAGUCAAGAUAACACCAUAGAUUUUAUAAAUAAGGGUCUUUAUUUAGAAUACUGUUGAAAACAUUCUUGGCAACCACAUUGUAUAAAUAUAUAAAGUUAAAGUUUGGCACAACAAACCAAGCAACAUUAAAUAUUUUUUUCCUUUUUUGUUUUUAGUAUUUUGUUGUUUUUUUUUUUUUCUUUUCCUUUUUUUUUUUUUUUU